GCUUGUGUGGCUCAGUGGAUAGAGCGUCAGCUCUGUGGACUGAAGGGUCCCGGGUUCGAUUCCCAGUCAAAGGCA
RNAcentral lists this transfer RNA (75 nucleotides) under Myotis lucifugus (little brown bat). It matches the Rfam family "tRNA". From Rfam's summary of the family: Transfer RNA (tRNA) molecules are approximately 80 nucleotides in length. Their secondary structure includes four short double-helical elements and three loops (D, anti-codon, and T loops). Further hydrogen bonds mediate the characteristic L-shaped molecular structure. tRNAs have two regions of fundamental functional importance: the anti-codon, which is responsible for specific mRNA codon recognition, and the 3' end, to which the tRNAs corresponding amino acid is attached (by aminoacyl-tRNA synthetases). tRNAs cope with the degeneracy of the genetic code in two manners: having more than one tRNA (with a specific anti-codon) for a particular amino acid; and 'wobble' base-pairing, i.e. permitting non-standard base-pairing at the 3rd anti-codon position. Lineage: Eukaryota; Metazoa; Chordata; Mammalia; Chiroptera; Vespertilionidae. The record is from Rfam by way of RNAcentral.